CCUAAAAGUAUUUUUUUCAUUCACGCCUCUCUCUUCUCCAAAAUUAGCCGCCGCCUCUCCUUUCUCCAUGAACUGGUGAAACGCCGCAAAGGCGGAGAUGUCUAUCUUCCUCCGUCCCUCUCUUCCUCCCCUCUCUUCUCUUCUAUCCUCCCUUCUCUCUUUCUCUUCUCCGUCCAGCAGCAGCUAGGUGAGAAACCAGCAGCAAUCGCUGCGCCAUCCAGCAAGGACUCCUCAAGUCAGCAGCUCGAAAAUCAGCAGACCAGCAACAAACAACAGUUCCGGCAUAUUCUCUCCCUCUCAUCUCCCUCAACCUCUCGUUCCUUUGUCCCUUCCUCGUCUUUUUUCCUUUUCCUCUCCUCUCUUUGCAGGAUCAGCAGCAGCUCAGCAUGUAGCAUCAACUCCACGCAGCAGCAGAAACGCGAGGCAACAGCAGUCGCGAGCUCCGACCGGUGAGUUGUUCUCUUCUCCGACGAGAAUCUUGUUGGCGAAGGCGACAACUCCGAUGGGGCCGACGAAGGCAACUGUUACUGCUCAUACCGUAAAUGGAAUGCAAAGCUUCGAUAAGACGGAUCUUUACAGAUCCGUUCGGGUAAAUAUCUCCUAAAAUAUCAUUUCACCUAUAUAUAGAUAUAUGAAAUUUAUUCAUCUUUUCUUGAUCUCAAAACUGAGCCAUCAUUUAUUAUCUUAAUCUUGUCUUCUACAAUUUUCUGAUUGUUAGACUUAGUAUGCUACUGAAUCAUUAUCCAUUUUGACUUGGAAUGACAACUCAUCCCCAGUUUAACAGGUUUUGAACUCAAAGGUUCAAGAUGUUGAAGAGUUGCUAUGGAUUGUGGAAGUGUUAGACGAGCUCACGUUUAUUUAAUUUGUGUUUUGUAUAUUAUUUAAUCUCUAUUAUUAUUUUAUAAUAAUUUAUAAACGCUAAACUCUAUAUAUAUGAAAUGAAUUUGGGGGAAUCGCCCAAGGAGAGGGGGAAUUACGUGCUACCUUUUAUAUUA
Solanum pennellii is the source of this 995-nucleotide long non-coding RNA. RefSeq lists it as uncharacterized. The record is from RefSeq and is a predicted model, not a curated record. The transcript has 2 exons. Lineage: Eukaryota; Viridiplantae; Streptophyta; Magnoliopsida; Solanales; Solanaceae.